UACGAGCUCCAAAACCCUCAAUUCUCUUUUUUUUUUUUAAUCAAUUGCUCGAGUGCUCCUACCCAAAAAAAAAAUUGUCCAGUGCUCCUACCCGGAAAAAAAAAUUCCAGUGCUCCUUCCCGAAAAUUUAAUUAAAUAAUUUAUUUAAAUCUAAAAAAUAAACAAAACACCAUGAAAUCAAAAUGAAUUUACAUAAUUACAACCCAACCAAGGGCAUUGCACGGACCAUCCAUACCUGACCCAUAAAAUUCGAAUAUGUUCCUCCAUAACUUUCGAAAAAUUAGUAAGAGUUGGUGUAACAAUAAACAUUUGUGUUACUGUGCAACUUAAUAAAACUUCAACUAAGUCGCACUUUUAGUAACUUAAAACUUAGUAAAAAUUCAACUAAUUUUGAUUGUAUCUUUUAUAUUGGCAAUAUGUUCUUUUAUUGAAGUUAAAAUAAAUAACAUGUCAUAACUCAUAAAUUUAGUAAAAAUAGAUAAAAAUAAAUAAAUAUAAUUUUACAGAGAAAAAUUAGAGACAAUAAGUUCAACUAAUUUUGAUUGUAUCUCUUAUAUUGACAAUAUGUUCUUUUAUUGAAGUUAAAAUAAAUAACAUGUCAUAACUCAUAAAUUUAGUAAAAAUAGAGAAAAAUAAAUAAAUAUAAUUUUAUAGAGAAAAUUAGAGCCAUUACAGUAAAAUAGAUAAAA
Molecule: long non-coding RNA, 689 nt
Filed under: Brassica rapa (field mustard)
Lineage: Eukaryota; Viridiplantae; Streptophyta; Magnoliopsida; Brassicales; Brassicaceae
Description: long non-coding RNA (BRAP_LNC003678)
Source: RNAcentral